GCCCAUCAGGUGGAGAUCAAAUCACGGAUGGAGGAAUUGAAAGUCCUGAAGCAGAUGCUGAGAUUGCAUCUACUGGUUCUGUAAAUGGAGCCCAAAGUGAGGUCCAGUCUAGUUCCUCACCGGUGGUGGUUUCAGGAAUGCAUAAUGGAUAUGGCAGCGAGGAAGAGACCAUGUACUCUGCCGAAACUGCUGAGAGCCGAAACUAUCCGAGUCCUAUAGAGGGAAGAUUUCAGCACGUGGGAAGGAGCCAAAGUUGUGCGAGUCACAAUAGAUGGAAGAAUGCUUCCCAUAGGAACCCAG
RNAcentral lists this unclassified non-coding RNA (300 nucleotides) under Hevea brasiliensis (rubber tree). Lineage: Eukaryota; Viridiplantae; Streptophyta; Magnoliopsida; Malpighiales; Euphorbiaceae. The record is from RNAcentral.